Molecule: long non-coding RNA, 722 nt
Organism: Carassius carassius (crucian carp)
Lineage: Eukaryota; Metazoa; Chordata; Actinopteri; Cypriniformes; Cyprinidae
Exons: 2
Source: RefSeq, a predicted model, not a curated record
AACGCAUGGUUGUCAAUAGAGUUUAACAAUAGAGUUUCUUCAGCUCUUCUAAUUUCUUCUGGUUUAAUGCUGCAUUCCGUCAUUUCCUUCAUCUCUCCGAAAUUAUCACCCGAAGCCAACACAAACCCGAUCGGUUUUUUGAUUCAAAACUAAUCCGAAGUAAAUAUCCAGUGUGCGGGAGGAUUUUUUUAAAAUGCAUCCUUCUCAUUUUUUCAUGUGAAGGCUGCUUGAUGCAUCAAUCGUUCUGACAAAGACCAUUACAUUUAUGGUUUCAUUAUAAGAUCCGAAGCAGCUCCCAUCUUCAGUUCCGAAAAUCUGGAUAAACAUGACGAUCUUCUUUUCUGUGCUGCCAUCGUGUGGUCCAUUACAAGCUGAAAUGUAGGCUACAGUUAAUUGAUAUUCCACAAGUAAUUAUGAUAUUCAUAUUUCGUUGCUUUCAUGUGCAUUAAAAUACUUAAUAUAUUGUAUGAACGUAAAUAUGUAUAAUGCAUAUAAUUUUGUCUUUCGCAGUGGGAUUUAUUCAUUUUCUGGAUGAGUUAAUCAAUAAUUUAUUUAAAUUGACAUUACACAAUCCGCGCGCACCUCAACACAAUGAGCGACCGGAACCGGAAAUAUGCUACAGAAAUGAAGGAGAAUGCAAAUAAGUCAACUGUAAAACAGCCUACAGGAAAGAGUUUAUCUUUUAAAAGUUGUUUUAUAUAUGUUGGUAAAUAAAUCAAAUU